RNAcentral lists this ribosomal RNA (486 nucleotides) under uncultured bacterium. RNAcentral describes it as "partial 16S ribosomal RNA". It matches the Rfam family "Bacterial small subunit ribosomal RNA", at positions 30 to 507 of the family's 1533-position model. The record is from RNAcentral.
AUUGAACGCUGGCGGCAUGCCUUACACAUGCAAGUCGAACGGCAGCACGGGUGCUUGCCCCUGGUGGCGAGUGGCGAACGGGUGAGUAAUACAUCGGAACAUGUCCUGUAGUGGGGGAUAGCCCGGCGAAAGCCGGAUUAAUACCGCAUACGAUCUACGGAUGAAAGCGGGGGAUCUUCGGACCUCGCGCUAUAGGGUUGGCCGAUGGCUGAUUAGCUAGUUGGUGGGGUAAAGGCCUACCAAGGCGACGAUCAGUAGCUGGUCUGAGAGGACGACCAGCCACACUGGGACUGAGACACGGCCCAGACUCCUACGGGAGGCAGCAGUGGGGAAUUUUGGACAAUGGGCGAAAGCCUGAUCCAGCAAUGCCGCGUGUGUGAAGAAGGCCUUCGGGUUGUAAAGCACUUUUGUCCGGAAAGAAAUCCUUGGCUCUAAUACAGUCGGGGGAUGACGGUACCGGAAGAAUAAGCACCGGCUAACUACGUG